Molecule: ribosomal RNA, 440 nt
Filed under: uncultured bacterium
Lineage: Bacteria
Description: partial 16S ribosomal RNA
Rfam family: Bacterial small subunit ribosomal RNA
Source: RNAcentral
CUACGGGAUGCUCCAGUGAGGAAUAUUGCACAAUGGGGGGAACCCUGAUGCAGCAACGCCGCGUGGAGGAUGACGCAUUUCGGUGUGUAAACUCCUUUUAUAUGUCAAGAAAAUGACGGUAGCAUAUGAAUAAGCACCGGCUAACUCCGUGCCAGCAGCCGCGGUAAUACGGAGGGUGCAAGCGUGUACUCGGAAUCACUGGGCGUAAAGGACGCGUAGGCGGGUUGGAAAGUCAGGUGUGAAAUCCUACAGCUUAACUGUAGAACUGCAGUUGAAACUUCUAAUCUAGAGUAUGGGAGGGGGAGAUGGAAUUAGUGGUGUAGGGGUAAAAUCCGUAGAUAUCACUAGGAAUACCUAAAGCGAAGGCGAUCUCCUGGAACAUUACUGACGCUAAGGCGUGAAAGCGUGGGGAGCAAACAGGAUUAGAUACCCGUGUAGUC